This is a long non-coding RNA of Homo sapiens (human), 8706 nucleotides long. RefSeq lists it as uncharacterized. Lineage: Eukaryota; Metazoa; Chordata; Mammalia; Primates; Hominidae. The record is from RefSeq and is a predicted model, not a curated record. The transcript has 2 exons.
GAGGUGGAGAGUUAUGGUGGAGGAAGCUAGUCCUGUCUGAUGGAGGAAACAGGGCAGAGGCGUGGAGGGAGACGCACAGUGCUGGUGUGAGGAGCCGCGAGCAGGCCAGGCCUGUAAAGCAGCGUGAUGGGAACCAGGAUAGAGAAGGCAAGUCGGGGUCCUGUGGUCGCUGAAGAAUUUGAAUGAAAUCAGUAAACAGGUGAGAGGGAUCCAUCGCAAGAGCAUGGGAUGAAACGAGCAGUAGUCCACGGUGAUUCCUCUGCAGCGAUACUGCAUAGUGGAUGGAUUAGUUUGUGGUUCCUGGGAUCUUCUGUGUAUUCUGUUGAAGCUCAAUAAUCACAUUACUGCGGACCUCCAAAAUUUUACAAAGGACUGCACAGUGAGUAUUCAGCCGAUAAACUAAACCACAGCUUAAUACUGUGAGAUGAAAUAAAGCACACCAAUUAAAAGUAAACACUGUUUAAACCUACCUCAAUGAAUUUCUAAAGUGUCAUACAUUUAUUAUAUUCUCUACUUGUAAAAUAUUUUGUUGUGUGUAUUGCCAAGUAUUUCAGGAUUUUAUGGGUAUAAUGUAUUCUAUUAAUUUAACUGGAAAACUUGUAGUUAUUCAACAAACAAACUAAAAGUGUUGGCAGAGAUGUAAUUUUAAAGCACAAUCCCACUCAUUCGUUCAGUGUUACAGCUGCUCCUUGUUUGUUUAAUAAUAGAACUGAUGAGUAGUUAAUUUGAGAGGAAAGCUGGUGCAGGUGUAGUGCUAUUUGGAUGUCAUGGAGGACACAUGUGACAUCUGCAGCUAGCUAUAUGGUAAAAGCAAAACAGAAGUUAAAAUCAGCCCUGUGUCAAAUCUGCAUAGUUUUAGGCUUCAGGGAGUGUCUCUGUAUGUUGAGGCAGGAAGUUUAGUAGAAUUCCAAGGAAGUAAGAGAGGAACAAACAUUUGUAGAUUUUGCCUUCUAUGGGGGAACUCAUUCAAUCAUCAGGAGAACUCUUCAAUAGGUUUUAUUUGCUCCGGUUUACCUAGAUGAAAAAUUGAGACCCAGAAUCCAUGCUUUUCUUUCCUGGUUACACAUUAGAAUCACCAAUGUGACAUUAAAACACACACACACACACACACACACACACACACACACACACACUGCACACCCAUUAGGAUGGCUGCUAUCAAAAAAGAAAAAACAAAAAAAUCAGGGGCCAGGCACGCUGGUUCACACCUGUAAUCCCAGCCCUUUGGGAUCACCUGAGGUCAGGAGUUUGACAGCAGCCUGGCCAACAUGGUGAAAUCUCAUCUGUACCAAAAAAUAAAAUAAAAUAAAACAAAAAACAACACACACACACACAAUUAGUCGGGCAUGGGGGCACACAUGUGUAAUCUCAGCUAAUUGAGAGGCUGAGGCACGAGAAUCGCUUGAACCUGGGAGGCGGAGGUUGCAGUGAGCCGAGAUCACGCCACUGCACUGCAGCCUGGAGACAGAAGGAGACUCGGCCUCAAAACAAAUCAAAACAAAAACACCCAGAAAAUAACAAGUGCUGACAAGGAUGUGGAAAAAUUGUAACUCUUGUGCAUUGAGGGUGGGUAUGAAAAAUAGUACAUCAGCUGUGGAAAACAUACCAUUCCUCAAAAAUUUAGACAUAGAAUUACCAUAUGAUUCAGUAAUCCCACUCACAUCUAUAAAUCUCUAUAUCUGUAUCUUUAUCUACCUAUCUCUAUCUUCAAAAGAAUGGAAAGCAGUUACUCAGAUACUUGUACACCUGUGUUCUCUCCCCACCCCCCCUUUUUUUUUUAAUAAAUGGGCUCUCACUGUGUUUCCCAGGCCGGAGUGCAGGGGCUGUUUAUAGGCACGACCCCCUGCUGCGGGGCUGUCCACCGGCAUGAACCCCUGCUGCGAGGCUGUUUAUAGGCAUGAUCCCCCUGCUGCGGAGCUGUCCACAGGCACGGACCCCUGCUGCAGGGCUGUCCACAGGCACGACCCACUGCUGCGGGGCUGUCCACAGGCACGACCCCCUGCUGCGGGGCUGUCCACAGGCAUGACCCCCUGCUGAGGGGCUGUCCACAGGCACGAUUUCCCUGCUGCGGGGCUGUCCACAGGCAGGAUCUCCCUGCUGCGGGGCUGUCCACAGGCAUGACCCCCUGCUGGUCAAACUGGGAGUUGUGCCCUGCUUUGUCUCCAAUCCAUGCCGGUUCGCCCCUCCUUAGGCAACCUGGUAGUCCCUUAUCCCAUGAGGUCACUGUACUAAUGUCUAAUUUCGUGCAGAUGUCUGAUCAACACUGCACACUGCAGCUCAGGACCCCUGGGCUCAAGUGAUCUGAGUAGCAGGAACUACAGGCGCAUGCCACCACACCUGCCUGCUACACCUGUGUUCAUUGCAGCAUUACAGCAGCCUUAUUUACAGGAACCACAAAAUGGAAACAACCUAAAAAGUCUAUUGAGGGAUAGAUGGAUAAACAAAAUGUGGUAUAGAUGUAAAAUGGAAUAUUAGUGAUCUUUGAAAAGGGAGGGAAUUCUGAUACUUGCUACCACAUAGAUAAAAACAUUAUGCUAAGUGAGACAUCAAACAAAGACUACCUGAUUCCAUCUAUAUGAAGAACCUGGAACAGGCAAAUUAAUAGAGACACAAAGUAGAAUAGAGGUUUUCAGGAAUGGCAGGAGGUGGAAAUGGGCGAGGUUAGUGUCUAAUGGGCACAGAGUUCCUAUCUGGGAUGAUAGAAUGUUUCGGAAAUGGAUAGUGGUGAUGACUGCACAGCAUUGUGAAUGUAGCUAAUGACGUUGAAUUCUUUACCAGAAAACAAAAACAAAAACAGAAACACAUUGCUUAAGCUUCUCAGUCCGACAGGUGACGUGCUUGGUGUGAGCUGGGGCCUAAGCCCAGGCUGCCCUCGCCAGAGCUGCUUCAAGACCCCUCUUGGUUGUACUUAGGCCUGAUUGCUCUGGAGAGUCCCAUACAUGAAAGCCAGCUCUGGUUCUAUCUCUUCUCACUCCAGUCCUCCCUGCCCCCACCAUCCCCCAGCUGGGCAUUAUGAGAAAAGCAAGAUGACUAUGAGUUUUUUGAUUAUUUAUAUGACCAAAUAAUCUCAAGGACUAUUGCUAACUAACCCAUGGGACUCCCACUACCUUCAUGAGGCUCGGAUGAGGUGAAGGGUCCCUAAAAUCGUGCCAACUAGUCAGGAACUCAGUUGUCAAUAAUUUCUUUAUUUGUGAUACAAGCAGGCGUGGGGAAAGAGAAAUGAACAGACUUGGAAGCUUCUCCGAGGCCCUAGAGAAGACCUCUGGGUUCCGAACACCAGACACCAGGAGUAAGGAGGGUAGUUGAUGAUUUCCCACUCUUUCUCCAGCCCCUGCUCCUCUGUUUCUCCCCUUCACCCACUGCAGCUUCCUCAGGUCCUGGGUCCCGCGCCAUCAUCUCUUCGAAUGACCUCCCUUCUAUUCCUGUUAAUAAAGGAGCAUCAGCUAAGUGAAUAUGGUGAUUUGCAUACACUUACAUUGAUUCAGAAAUUGUGUUUAAUUCCACACAAGAAAAAGAAUGUGGAUCUUUUUCACUGGGAAAAAAAGUCGCCAUGUAUCAUCUUAAUCAUGUUUUCCUGGGAUAUAAUCUAUACGUGACGCCCAUUUAAGCCUUCAUUGCAUCUAUGCACGUGGUUUGCUUUCCUCUUGUGUGAAAUAGUGUUGGACCACACGGGUUUGGGCCACAGCCCAGGAAGACACAAUCCUGAACGUCAUAAUCCCAAAUGUUGAAGUCCCAUAAGAUCUAAAUCUGUACAGUCUAAAAUCCUGAAAAUUACAAUCCUAAAAAAACAAAAUUCUCAAAAUACAAUUCUGGAAAAAAAUUAUUAACACAUUCUUUAAGAAGCAUUUAUUGGGCAGCACAUGGUGGCUCAUGCCUUUAAUCCCAGCACCUUUGGAGGCCGAGGCGGGUGGAUCACAAAGUCAGGAGAUGGAGACCAUCCUGGCUAACACGGUGAAACCCCAUCUUUACUAAAAAUACAAAAAAUUAGCCAGGCAUCAUGACGGGUGCCAGUAGUCCCAGCUACUCGGGAGGCUGAGGCAGGAGAAUCGCUUGGACCCAGGAGGUGGAGGUUACAGUGAGCCGCAAUCGCACCACUGCACUCCAGCCUGGGCGACAGAGUGAGACUCUGUCUAACAACAAAAACAAAAAACAUUUAUUUAUAUUUUUAAGAUGGAAUUUAUUUGAGAAACUUAUAAAAACACAACAGAACCCUUCCUAGGCCACUUUACACAAUCAAUAGGCAAUAAUAACAUGCAUAUAUUUGCAAGCGUAAAACUCAGGUAUGCUAACGAUAGUCUCACGGGUAUAAUGGUAAUGAGCAGAUGAGUUGUAUUUGUAAAGAAAUGGGUCAAAAAGCAAAAUGUAUAAAAGCGUGGUUGGUAACUGGGUGAACUCAGCUUUAUAACUUAGGUCAUCUGGAAUACUGUGACAGACAACCUAAGUCUUUUGACCAGAUUCAUCAAAAGCUGGGAUGGGUCACCAUGUAAUAUUCAGUCAAAGAGCUGAGAUCCUAAGGAAUUUUCUCUUUCCCAAAUGCAAAUGUGCAAAAGGAUAUCUUCUCAUUUAUUGAGGAAAUUUUAAUGUUUUUAUGUACAUGUACAAUGCUUACACACAAAGUCAGUGUUGUGAUAAUACACUGUUGUGGAGUCAAAUUUGCAAAAAAAAAAAAAAAAUGCAUAAAACAAAUUAGAACUCUCUAAAAGUCUUUGCAAAAUUUAUACCUCCAGUAUUGGAAAUGAUACUAAGAUGAAAUACAUAGCAUAGCAAGUUGUAAAAAAUAAUGCUGACAAUUUAAAAUAGUGGAAAAAAUGGAAAAAGAAACACUAAAAAGAAAAUUGACAUAUAAAAAGUAUAUUACAUGGAUAGAUUAUGAGCAAUUGCAGAGUUCAUCAUAGCUCGCUGACUUUCAUGAUCAUUAACUAUAUUUUGAAGUCUUGCAUCACGAUGAAUUGUUGCCUUUUUUGUUUUUAGGAUUUGACUCUCCUCAUAAAAUACAUUCACAUUCAUUUUCUACGUGGCACUGCUCUUUUUGAAAUUCUUCUGUAAUUUGAUACACACUGACAUGAGCAUUUCCUGUUACAUUUUCCAAUCUUCUAUGCCUUUCUUGUCUAUUGUUUUGAGUAUGUGGAAAUCCAUUUUGCAGGCCCUCAUAUACAGGCCACUCAUUUGGCAGAAACAAUACUCUUGAUUGAACAGCAACACCAUUGCCUAAAUGACUCUUAUCCUACCUUGCACAUCAUUAUUUUCAAACCAGUAUGUAAUAUUUCUGGCUUCUUCAGGCAAUUGUGGUUUUAAUUUAUCAAAAGCUCCUGGAAUUUUAUCAGGUGGAAGGAAUGCCAAUACAGACAAAUGACACAUUUUUAAACUAAAAUUUUCAUCAUUGCCAUAUGGCCUGGCCAAUCCACUCACCUGAAUUUUCUGGCAAAUGAGCUGGGCUGAAUGGAAGAUAUAAAUUUUACUGGUAACAACUUGCAAUUCACUUUUAGAAGCUUUGAUCACACCUAAUUAAAAACUUGUCAUUAUAAUUUGGGGAUCCAAUUGAAAUCUAUUUUCUUCUGCAAAGCCAUCCAAAUCUUCAAAUAAGCUUUUAUAAAGUACUUCACUUUUUCCAGUUAUUAAACCAUAAACGUGCAGUUUAAAUUACAGAAUUUUGUAAUCCAAUGGGGGCAUAAACUGCAUAAAGUCGAUUUAAAAAACCCACUGGGGACAGUUUUGAAAGUGCCGUUCAUCAGCCAAAGUGAAACAUGCACCAGUUUUGUUAUGUUAAACAAAUAUGUUUAUCUUUUUUGACAGUCAAAUCCCUAAUCAAGAAUAGUUCAUGAUUUAAUAUAUCUUGUAGCACUGGAGGAAGCUCUGUGCCAGAAGGUGUCUGGCUCAGAAGGCCACUGAAUUUGUUGAACUAUUUUUAUUAUCUGACAAAAGGCAUUUUGUGAAGGCAAGCAUGGUGCUACGUGUAGAGGUGCUUGGUACAUGAUUACAUAAUUUGGCAGACAAGAUUUUGUUCAUUUUUAACUUUCAUUUUAACUUCUUCUGUGAUAUUCAAGACAUUCAAAACAGUGACAGCAGAUCUUCCCCACCUAGUCUGCUCAGACCCACACACUGAUCUCUUCUGAGAAAACCAUCACAGUCAUACCCAAAAUAAUGCUUUCCCAGCUUUCCAGGGAUUCCUUAAUCCAGUCAAGUUGACACCUGAAAUUAAGUCUGCAAGUCCACCCCUUGUAGAUGUGGCACCCAUAUGGACCUCCUUAAACCAUACAUAAUUUCCAAAUAAAAAGAAAACAAAGCAACAGUUGUACCUAACAUGAUGCAACUAACGUGGUACAACUCUCCUGUGAUUGUGAUUUUCUGGAUUUUAGAUGUUAAGAAUUUAGACUUUAGGACUGGGCAUGGUGGCUCAUGCCUGUAUUCCCAGCACUUUGGGAGGCCAAAUCAGGAGGAUCACUUGAGCCCAGGAGUUUGAAAUCAGCCGGGGCAAUAAAGUGAGACCCCAUGAUAUGGUUUGGCUGUGUCUCCAACCAAAUCUCAUCUUGAAUUGUAGUUCUCAUAAUCCUCACAUAUCAUGAUGGGGACCCAGGGAGAGGUAAUUGAAUCAUGGAGGCAGUUACCCCCAUGCUCUUCUCAUGAUAGUGAGUGAGUUCUCACAAGAUCUGAUGGUUUUAUAAGGAGCUUUUCCCCCUUUGCUUGCGCUUCUCCUUCCUGCCACCUCGUGAAGAAGGUGACUUGCUUCCCCUUCACAUUCUACCAUGCUUGAAAGUUUCCUGAGGCCUCCCCAGCUAUGAUGAACUGUGAGUCAAUUAAACCUCUUUCCUUUAUAAAUUACCCAAGCUUGGUUAUGUCUUUAUUAGCAGCAUGAGAAUGGACUGAUACAGUAAAUUGGUACUGAGGUAGUGGGGCGUUGCUAUAAGGAUAUCUAAAAAUGUGGAAGUGAAUUUGGAACUGGGUAACAGGCAGAGGUUGAACAGUUUGCAGGGUUCGGAAGAAGACAGAAAAAUGUGAGGAAGUUUGGAACUUCCUAGAGACUUGCAGAAUGGUUUUGAGGAAAAUGCUGAUAGUGACAUGGACAAUGAAGUCCAGGCUGAGGUGGUCUCAUAUGGAGAUGAAGAACUCGUUGGGAACUGGAGUAAAGGUGACUCUUGCUAUGCAAAGAGACUGAUGGCAUUUUGCCCCUGCCCUAGAAAUCUGUGGAACUUUAAACUUGAGAGACAUAGUUUAGGGUAUCUGGCAGAAGAAAUUCCUAAGUAGCAAAGUGUUCAAGAGGAAGCAAAGCAUAAAAGUUUUAAAAAUUUUGCAGCUUGAUGAUGAGAUAGAAAAGGAAAACCCAUUUUCUGGAGAGAAAUUCAAGCCAGCUGCAGAAAUUUGCAUAAGUAAAGAGGAGCUGAAUAUUAAUCACCAAGACAAUGGGAAAAUGUCUUCAGGGCAUGUCAGAGACCUUCAAGGCAACUCAAACCAUCACAGGCCAGGAGGCCUAGGAGGAAAAAAUGGUUUCAUGGGCCCAGUGCAGGGACUUGCUGCUCUGUGCAGUCUCAGGACUUGGUUCCCUGUGUCCCAAUCAUGGCUAAAGGGCCAAUGUACAGCUCAGGCCAUGGCUUCAGAGGGUAAAGGCCCCAAGCCUUGGCAGCUUACAUGAGGCGUCGGGCCUGCGGGUGCACAGAAGUCAAGAAUUGAGGUUUGGGAAUCUACGCCUAAAUUUCAGAGGAUGCAUGGAAACGCGUGGGUGUUCAGGCACAAAUUUGUGACAGGGACGGAGCCCUCAUGGGGAACCUCUGCUAGGGCAGUGACUGCAGAAGGGAAAUGCGGGGUCAGAGCCCCCACACAGUCCCCACUGGGGCACUGCCUAAUGGAGCUGAGAGAAGAGGGCCACCAUCCUCCAGACUCCAGAAUGGUGGACACACUGACAGCUUGCACCGUAUUGUCUGGAAAAGCCACAGACACUCAGCACCAGCCUGUGAAAGCAGCCAGGAGGAGGGCUGUACCCUGCAAAUCAACAGGGGUGGAGCUGCCCAAGGCCAUGAGAGCCCACCUCUUGCUUCAGUGUGACCUGGAUGUGAGACACGAAGUCAAAGGAAAUCAUUACAGAGCUUCAAGAUUUGACUGACCCAUUGAAUUUUGGACUUGCAUGGGGCCUGCAAUCCCUUCAUUUUGGCCAAUUUCUCCCAUUUGGAACAGGUGUAUUUACCCAAUGCCUAUAUCUUCAUUGAAUCUAUGAAGUAACUAACUUGAUUUUGAUUUUACAGGCUCAUAGGAAGAAGGGCCUUGCCUUGUCUAAGAUAAGACUUUGGACUUGGACAUUUGGGUUAAUGCUGGAAUGAGCUAAGACUUUGGGGGACUGUUAGAAAGGCAUGAUCAUGUUUUAAAAUGUAAGGACAUGAGAUUUGGAAGGGGCUGGGGGCAGAAUGAUAUGGUUUGGCUGUGUCCCCACCCAAAUCUCACCUUGAAUUGUAGUUUCCACAAUCCCUACAUGUUGUGGGAGUAACCCAGUUGGAGGUAAUUGAAUCAUGGGGGUGGUUACCCCAUGCUGGUCUCAUGACAGUGAGUGAUACCUGAAGGUUUUAUAAGGGGCUUUUCCCCUUUCGCUCAGCACCUCCUGCUGCCUUGUGAAGAAGGUGCCUUGAUUCUUGUUUGCAUUCACCAUGAUUCUAAGUUUUCUGAAGCCUUCCCAGCCAUGCUGAACUGUGAGUCAAUUAAACCUCUUUCUUUUAUAAAUUA